GUAACGCGUGAGUAACCUGCCUUUCANAGGGGGAGUAACGUUCUGAAAAGAAACGCUAAUACCGCAUGAGACUACAGAGCUGCAUGGCUCAGUGGUCAAAGGAGCAAUCCGCUGAAAGAUGGACUCGCGUCCGAUUAGAUAGUAGGCGGGGUAACGGCCCACCUAGUCGACGAUCGGUAGCCGGACUGAGAGGUUGAACGGCCACAUUGGGACUGAGACACGGCCCAGACUCCUACGGGAGGCAGCAUG
RNAcentral lists this ribosomal RNA (249 nucleotides) under uncultured bacterium. RNAcentral's name for it is "partial 16S ribosomal RNA". It matches the Rfam family "Bacterial small subunit ribosomal RNA", at positions 110 to 353 of the family's 1533-position model. The record is from RNAcentral.